This 469-nucleotide ribosomal RNA is filed under the name uncultured bacterium. RNAcentral describes it as "partial 16S ribosomal RNA". It matches the Rfam family "Bacterial small subunit ribosomal RNA", at positions 28 to 507 of the family's 1533-position model. The record is from RNAcentral.
GAUGAACGCUGGCGGCGUGCUUAACACAUGCAAGUCGAACGGUGAACACGGAGCUUGCUCUGUGGGAUCAGUGGCGAACGGGUGAGUAACACGUGAGCAACCUGCCCCUGACUCUGGGAUAAGCGCUGGAAACGGCGUCUAAUACUGGAUAUGUGACGUGACCGCAUGGUCUGCGUUUGGAAAGAUUUUUCGGUUGGGGAUGGGCUCGCGGCCUAUCAGCUUGUUGGUGAGGUAAUGGCUCACCAAGGCGUCGACGGGUAGCCGGCCUGAGAGGGUGACCGGCCACACUGGGACUGAGGCACGGCCCAGACUCCUACGGGAGGCAGCAGUGGGGAAUAUUGCACAAUGGGCGCAAGCCUGAUGCAGCAGCGCCGCGUGAGGGAUGACGGCCUUCGAGUUGUAAACCUCUUUUAGCAGAGAAGAAGCGAAAGUGACGGUACCUGCAGAAAAAGCGCCGGCUAACUACGUG